CCAGACUCCUACGGGAGGCAGCAGUAGGGAAUCUUUCACAAUGGGCGAAAGCCUGAUGGAGCAACGCCGCGUGCAGGAUGAAGGCCUUCGGGUUGUAAACUGCUUUUAUAAGCGAGAAAUAUGAUGGUAACUUAUGAAUAAGGAUCGGCUAACUACGUGCCAGCAGCCGCGGUAAUACGGAGGAUGCGAGCGUUAUCCGGAUUUAUUGGGUUUAAAGGGUGCGUAGGCGGGAUGCCAAGUCGGCGGUAAAAAGGGGGGGCUCAACGCAGUCGAGCCGUUGAAACUGGCGUUCUUGAGUAGGCGAGAAGUAUGCGGAAUGCGUGGUGUAGCGGUGAAAUGCAUAGAUAUCACGCAGAACUCCGAUUGCGAAGGCAGCAUACCGGCGCCCUACUGACGCUGAGGCACGAAAGCGUGGGUAUCGAACAGGAUUAGAUACCCUAGUA
This 443-nucleotide ribosomal RNA is filed under the name uncultured bacterium. RNAcentral's name for it is "bacterial SSU rRNA". It matches the Rfam family "Bacterial small subunit ribosomal RNA", at positions 331 to 792 of the family's 1533-position model. The record is from RNAcentral.